AGUAACACGUGGAUAACCUACCUAUAAGACUGGGAUAACUUCGGGAAACCGGAGCUAAUACCGGAUAAUAUUUUGAACCGCAUGGUUCAAAAGUGAAAGACAGUCUUGCUGUCACUUAUAGAUGGAUCCGCGCUGCAUUAGCUAGUUGGUAAGGUAACGGCUUACCAAGGCAACGAUGCAUAGCCGACCUGAGAGGGUGAUCGGCCACACUGGAACUGAGGCACGGUCCAG
This 231-nucleotide ribosomal RNA is filed under the name uncultured Staphylococcus sp. Its description in RNAcentral is "partial 16S ribosomal RNA". It matches the Rfam family "Bacterial small subunit ribosomal RNA", at positions 109 to 334 of the family's 1533-position model. Lineage: Bacteria; Bacillati; Bacillota; Bacilli; Caryophanales; Staphylococcaceae. The record is from RNAcentral.